UUGGGAUCUGUCAGGUAAAUUAAGUUGCGAUUAUACCAUACAUACUAUUGCAUCAGUGGGACGCAUUAAAUGGAGACCACAGAAAAAAAUAUCACAUAGCAAGUUGUGUUCUAGUGAUUGAUUGUAGUAUAAAUGUAUGGGAUAUUCGCAGACCAUAUAUUCCAUUUGCAAGUUUCAAUGAACAUAAAGAUGUUCCCACAGAUGUGGGAGAGGCAAUCCACAAUCAUUUCUAUCGACAAGCAGAAAUUGCACUUUGUAUCAUCAUUUUUUGACGAUGCGGUAAGACCAGCCAGCAAAGCAAAUCCGCAAAGUAUUGCAUUAGGUUUAAAGGGUGCAGUCACAUAUGCUUGUAAAGUAAAAUAUGAACCGGCGGCUACCGCAAGAUAACUGACUAUAGUAUAAUGAGGAGAACACUUGUGACAAAUGAAGAUACUUUUUGUGCGGCUUCAAGUGUAACGCAUAGAUUCACUUUGAAACAGAAUUCCGCUAUUGGGACAUUACUUUGUUCAACUUGACAAUAGAAUAAUGUAAGUUUUUUAGCAUUAUAAAAAAUUUAUCAUUUCGGCACGGUUGACGAUUCAGGUUAAAUUGAUAAUAAAUCAACAAUGUAGGUUAUUCUGACAAUUAAAUCAUGUAUUUUCAUUUUGCUUCUGUCCGCGAUAUCUUGAAAUUAUAGUAAAAAAGAAACGAAAGGAUGAUCACUGCAAAUUUCAUAUCACAUCAUUCAUAUAAUUUUCUUUAUAAUAAUGAGUCCUCGUGCUGCAAUAUCUAAUUCUGAAAUUAUAAAAACUUUAAAAUAUUUUGAAAUUUGUGACAAUCAAACCGGCAAAUUGAAAUCUAAAUUUAAUUCAGUGUGGAGAGACAUAUGCGCAACAUGGGACAAUCAAAUGAAACCUUUUAAUUUAUACUUUUAUGUCUAUCAAAAUCGGCAUAACGUUUUCGAAACAUAUAAAAAGAUGAAAAAUGUGAUUAAUUUCAAUAACUUUACGAAAGAAAUUCUAAGUGAAACUGAGGACAUUGAUAUUUCUGACUUGUGUAAUGAUAGUAAUAGCUUCGACAGUUUUGAAUGGA
Formica exsecta is the source of this 1071-nucleotide long non-coding RNA. RefSeq lists it as uncharacterized. The transcript is spliced from 3 exons. The record is from RefSeq and is a predicted model, not a curated record. NCBI's taxonomy places the organism in Eukaryota, Metazoa, Arthropoda, Insecta, Hymenoptera, Formicidae.